GCCUGACCUCGGAUCAGACGUGAUUACCCGCUGAAUUUAAGCAUAUUAUUAAGCGGAGGAAAAGAAACUAACAAGGAUUCCCCUAGUAACGGCGAGGUGAACGGGAAGAGCCCAACACCGAAUCCCUUGGCGCAAGUCAACGGGAAAUGUGGUGUAAGGUAGCCCUUCGUGUCAGUCUAGGCGUCUCAAGUCCACCUGAUUGUGGCUCAAGCCCAGAGAGGGUGUAAGGCCCGUAGAGACGCUCCGACUGAUUCCUGGGGUUUACCUACGAGUCGGCUUGUUUGGGAAUGCAGGCCAAAGCGGGUGGUAAACUCCAUCCAAGGCUAAAUACUGGCACGAGUCCGAUAGCGGACAAGUACCGUGAGGGAAAGUUGAAAAGAACUUUGAGAGAGAGUUCAAUAGUACGUGAAACCGCUUAGAGGCAAACGGAUGGUGCUCAUACUGGCCUGAGGAAUUCAACUGUGACGGUGGCUGGACGAGCUGGCGUUCCGAUCUCUCUUUUGGGACGGGCGUCGGUUUGGCUAUCAGCUCCGACAUGGUGCACUUUCCUUGGUGCCUCCGCCACGACCGACGACACUGGCUACCCGCGGCUGGGUAAGGUGACAAACUGCUUCGGCAAUUUGUGUUAUAGACCCGGCGUCGGACAUGGUUUGGCCAGGACGUCGAGCUUGCGGCGCCCGCUCCUUGUGGGCUCGCAUGUUGGCUAGCUUGGCUGCGCCGAUGCUUGCACUGGACAACCAGUACAGGUGACGGUUGUGGUCUUGUCUCUAGUUGGCCUCUGCGAGUUUGGCGCCUAUAGUCUGUGGUGUACUUGUGGGUAGACUAUCCGACCCGUCUUGAAACACGGACCAAGGAGUCUAACAUGUGCGCGAGUCAUGGGGAUUCUACGAAACCCAAAGGCGCAGUGAAAGUAAAGGCCUGCUUCUCGUAGGCUGAGGUGGGAUCUCGUGCAUCGCGAUUGGCGAGCGCACCACCGGCCCGUCCUAUCUGUCUCUGUCAGUGGGGCGGCGCAAGAGCGUACACGUUGGGACCCGAAAGAUGGUGAACUAUGCUUGCGCAGCUCGAAGUCAGUGGAAACACUGAUGGAGGAGCGCAGCGUUUCUGACGUGCAAAUCGAUCGUCAAACGUGAGUAUAGGGGCGAAAGACUAAUCGAACCAUCUAGUAGCUGGUUCCCUCCGAAGUUUCCCUCAGGAUAGCUGGCACUCGGGAAACAGUUUUAUCCGGUAAAGCGAAUGAUUAGAGGCAUUGGGGUCGAAACGACCUCGACCUAUUCUCAAACUUUAAAUGGGUAAGAUGCUCGUCUCGCUUAAUUGGAGGCGGGCUUCACCUCUCUAUAAACGUGAAUGUGAGUGCCCAGUGGGCCAUUUUUGGUAAGCAGAACUGGCGCUGUGGGAUGAACCAAACGCGCGGUUAAGGCGCCCAAUGCGGACGCUCAUGAGACACCACAAAAGGUGUUGGUCGAUACUGACAGCAGGACGGUGGCCAUGGAAGUCGGAACCCGCUAAGGAGUGUGUAACAACUCACCUGCCGAAUCAACCAGCCCUGAAAAUGGAUGGCGCUGGAGCGUCGGGCCUAUACCGUGCCGUUGGGGCGAAGCAGACAAAUAAUCUGUGUGGAUGUCCCAACGAGUAGGAGGGUCGCCGUGGUGAGCGCAGAAGGUGCGGCCGUGAGGCCGGCUGGAGCCGCCACGGGCGCAGAUCUUGGUGGUAGUAGCAAUUACUCAAGUGAGAACCUUGAGGACUGAAGUGGAGAAGGGUUCCAUGUGAACAGCAGUUGAACAUGGGUCAGGCGGUCCUAAGCGAUCGGGUAACUCCGUACCUAGACGAGGGUGACAACUAUCACUGAUAAUACUGUGAAGUGUUAUAGCCCUCCGGAGCGAAAGGGAAUCGUGUUAAUAUUCACGACCCUUACCGUGGAGAUCGCCCCUUUCGGGGGGCAAGUGCGGUAACGCAAACGAACACAGAGACGUCGGCUGGAGCCCCGGGAAGAGUUCUCUUUUUUGUAAGGAGCGUACCCCCUGGAAUCGGCUUGUCCGGAGAUAGGGGCGUGGCUUCCGUAAAGCAGCGCGGGUCUUGCGCUGUCCGGUGCACUCUAGUCGGCCCUUGAAAAUCUGUGGGAGACAGUGUGAUUUUCACGGUAGGCCGUACCCAUAUCCGCAGCAGGUCUCCAAGGUGAACAGCCUCUAGUCCUAGAACAAUGUAGGUAAGGGAAGUCGGCAAAAUGGAUCCGUAACUUCGGGAAAAGGAUUGGCUCUGAGGGCUGGGUCGGAUGGGCUGGCGUAAGAAGCUGUUCCGGUUUUGGUGAGGACUGGGCGAGGCUUUCGGGCUUUACUCGGACCAUGCCGAGACCAGGCAGUAGACGACGUCAGCUGUGCUUGUCGUGUUUCGGCGCGGCAGCUUCGUCCGGCAACAAACAGCCAACUCAGAACUGGCACGGACUAGGGGAAUCCGACUGUCUAAUUAAAACAAAGCAUUGCGAUGGCUGUUGCUCGGUGUUGACGCAAUGUGAUUUCUGCCCAGUGCUCUGAAUGUCAAAGUGAAGAAAUUCAAUCAAGCGCGGGUAAACGGCGGGAGUGACUACGACUCUCUUAGACGGGCCGCUUGAUGAUGGUGUGCUGGACUGAGAGACAAACCUGAGCGUGGCGUGGGCAGACCAGCCUGCUGUUACUUGGUGGACAUGCAGGUUAGGCACUGCCACCUCGAGAUGGUGAAACUAUGCUAUGUUGAGGCAGAAGCUUGGCCGAAGCUUGGAUGACUGUUCAGUAAUGGCGGCUGGAUGCCGGGGGCUCCAGUUCGAAAAAUGGCUCCACUACUGGGGAAACCUGGUAGAGGGUGAACAUUACUGAUCAGGAUUCCGGGCUAAAGCUUUGCUUCUAGUGCGGAUGAUUGUGAGGAUUGUUCUGCCUUCGGAUUGGGUGGCCCCCGCACCCGGUUCGGUCUGGUGGUUCGAUUCUCACCGGAGGGAUCCUUGCUCCGUAGGUACGCCCUUGGAGUAGGGGGAACUUCGCUCGAAUUGAAACACGGAUCAGGAUCGGGCCUGCACGCGCUAUGGUCGGGUGCGGCUCGAACUCUAACAUACUUUCAUUUAGCUGGUCUCCGCUUAGGCGGGUCCGGGUUUCGAUUCGGAUGUUGAUGAUCGCAGGGUAAAGGCGCGAUGGCAGAGCUGGCUCGUCUUGGCGACGCCGGAGUGCUUAUCCCUGUCUGACAGUGUUGGUGCCUCCAAGUGGCGAGAGUCGGGCA
Molecule: ribosomal RNA, 3240 nt
Filed under: Macrostomum lignano
Lineage: Eukaryota; Metazoa; Platyhelminthes; Macrostomidae
Description: eukaryotic LSU rRNA
Rfam family: Eukaryotic large subunit ribosomal RNA (bases 4-2724)
Source: RNAcentral